UACGGGAAGGCAGCAGUGGGGAAUAUUGCACAAUGGGCGAAAGCCUGAUGCAGCUAUGCCGCGUGUAUGAAGAAGGCCUUAGGGUUGUAAAGUACUUUCAUCGGGGAGGAAAAACAAAACUAAUAAUUUUAUUUCUUGACGUUACCCGAAAAAGAAGCACCGGCUAACUCCGUGCCAGCAGCCGCGGUAAUACGGAGGGUGCUAGCGUUAAUCAGAAUUACUGGGCGUAAAGAGCACGUAGGUGGUUUUUUUAAGUCAGAUGUGAAAUCCCUGGGCUUAACCUAGGAACUGCAUUUUGAAACUGAAAUACUAGAGUAUCGUAGAGGGAGGUAGAAUUCUAGGUGUAGCGGUGAAAUGCGUAGAUAUCUGGAGGAAUACCUGUGGCGAAAGCGGCCUCCUAAACGAAUACUGACACUGAGGUGCGAAAGCGUGGGAGCAAACAGGGAUUAGAUACC
This 455-nucleotide ribosomal RNA is filed under the name uncultured bacterium. RNAcentral's name for it is "bacterial SSU rRNA". It matches the Rfam family "Bacterial small subunit ribosomal RNA", at positions 340 to 786 of the family's 1533-position model. The record is from RNAcentral.